AUAAAAAACAAAACAAAAAAAUGUCAAAAAAAACAAAACAAACUAAGAAUAAUGCAAAAUAGAUUAAACUAUUCCAAAUGCAGAGCAUAUUGGCAACAUCAACUACAGUUCUUUAUAAGACGCCGUCUAUUUUGGUGCUUUUCCUCACAAACAUUUUUUUUUGUAAUUUUUAGUGGCUGACAAAUUAGGUUCAAAAAUGUUUUGAAUAUGAGAGUUUUGUAUUGACACUUUUUUUUAAGUUUGCUGAAUAGAAUGGUAAAAAACAAUCUCAUCAAAUUACAUUUGCUGUCCACGAAAAAUGUUUGUAAGGCACUGGAAUUUGAUUUCAAUAAUUCAUUGUUUGUUUUGCUCUUCUGUGAAAAGUGCCAUUCAUAGACAGUGUAUAAGAACUGGACAUGGUUUAUGUACAGAGGGUCUGAGCACAAAUAAACUGGGCCAAUGAGCAUCCAGCCGUUGACAAUGACGAAUUCAGCUCUGUGGUCAUUUUUGACAUACAGUGUUUUUCCUAGGACAGUUAGGGCAUCACCUCCGUCACUUGGUACAGCAGGCCUCACUUGGCUAAUUUCCUCUCAUUUUAAACACGAUAUAAAAAUAAAAAUAACGAUUGACACCAUAUGUAUUAACAAGUAUCCCUAAAUCUAUGCUAUAGAAUCUAUAGGUUUUACUUCAGUUACUUCUAAUACUUCAAAAAUGUAGUUCUUACUUCCAGAGCUUUACUUUUGCAACCCAAUGACUUUGUCCAUUUAUUUAUGCACUGUCUAUGGCGCCAUUUUAAAAAAUAUUAAUUUAAUACCAAUUCAUUUGUGAUUAUCAAAAGGCACAGGUUGAGUUCAAUGUAAUUUGUUUGGUAGAAAUUUAACAAACUGAUAAAGAACUGUAUGCUCUACAGACCUCUAAACCGAAGGGUCUCUUAAAGGUUCCAAUCGCAAUGCCACUUAUUUUAUUGUGUCUGUAUCUCCAUUUAAUGUUUGUCCCCAUCACCAUCCGUUCUCUGUCUCUAGUCAUUCAAUUGAGAAAAAAAAAAAAAAAA
Cynoglossus semilaevis (tongue sole) is the source of this 1030-nucleotide long non-coding RNA. RefSeq lists it as uncharacterized. The record is from RefSeq and is a predicted model, not a curated record. NCBI's taxonomy places the organism in Eukaryota, Metazoa, Chordata, Actinopteri, Pleuronectiformes, Cynoglossidae. The transcript has 2 exons.